UACGAGGGGAGCAAGCGUUGUUCGGAUUUACUGGGCGUAAAGGGCGCGUAGGCGGCGUGACAAGUCACUUGUGAAAUCUCCGGGCUUAACUCGGAACGGUCAAGUGAUACUGUCGUGCUAGAGUACAGAAGGGGCAACUGGAAUUCUCGGUGUAGCGGUGAAAUGCGUAGAUAUCGAGAGGGAACACCUGCGGCGAAGGCGGGUUGCUGGGCUGAUACUGACGCUGAGGCGCGAAAGCUAGGGGAGCGAACGGG
This 254-nucleotide ribosomal RNA is filed under the name uncultured bacterium. Its description in RNAcentral is "partial 16S ribosomal RNA". It matches the Rfam family "Bacterial small subunit ribosomal RNA", at positions 524 to 776 of the family's 1533-position model. The record is from RNAcentral.